CCCUAUGGGGUGCAGCAGGCGGGCUAUUAAGUCAGCGGUGAAAUUUUCAGGCUCAACCUGAACACUGCCGUUGAAACUGGUAGUCUUGAGUAUAGAUGAAGUAGGCGGAAUUCGUUGUGUAGCGGUGACAUGCUUAGAUAUAACGAGGAACUCCGAUUGCGUAGGCAGCUUACUAAACUAUAACUGACGCUCAUGCACGAAAGCGUGGGGAUCAAACA
This 218-nucleotide ribosomal RNA is filed under the name uncultured prokaryote. RNAcentral's name for it is "partial 16S ribosomal RNA". It matches the Rfam family "Bacterial small subunit ribosomal RNA", at positions 561 to 774 of the family's 1533-position model. The record is from RNAcentral.